UACGUAGGUGGCAAGCGUUGUCUGGAUUUAUUGGGUUUAAAGGGUGCGUAGGCGGGCAGGUAAGUCAGUGGUGAAAUCCUUGAGCUUAACUCGAGAACUGCCAUUGAUACUAUCUGUCUUGAAUAUUGUGGAGGUAAGCGGAAUAUGUCAUGUAGCGGUGAAAUGCUUAGAUAUGACAUAGAACACCUAUUGCGAAGGCAGCUUACUACGCAUAUAUUGACGCUGAGGCACGAAAGCGUGGGGAUCAAACAGG
RNAcentral lists this ribosomal RNA (253 nucleotides) under uncultured bacterium. RNAcentral describes it as "partial 16S ribosomal RNA". It matches the Rfam family "Bacterial small subunit ribosomal RNA", at positions 524 to 776 of the family's 1533-position model. The record is from RNAcentral.